UUCAGAGGUGCCCAAUAGAUGGCGAGUGUCCUCGUUUUUCAUGUAAUGGCUGUUGUGUUGUUGUCAAAAGUUCCUAUUUUUUCACGAAAUUACCGAUUAAUUCAUAAGAUGGAACGCGAAAGGAAGCAUCAGCCUUCGAUCAACCCUUUCAUAAUUGACGUUCUGCUGAAUGCAUCAUCCAAUUAAUACAGGUCACUAAUCCCAGCGUGGACAUGUAUUGUUUUAUUCCGAACAUGUUUUACUACAAAUGUUGCAUUGACAGACAAGGAAAGCUAUGGAAAACAUUAUGUAGGACAUGAGUAAUCUUAGAAGUCACGUGAAAAGAUGCAGGGCAGGGCACUUACCAACAUAUGUUCAACACUGCUGCGGCUGCCUACAGUCACAGGCAGGAAUAUUGCUGUCUUUCUUCAGACAAUUGCAAAGCUAUUGGAGUAAUUUAGUCUUCAUCCCCACUGGACUCUUUCAUCUUCUGGAUAGCUUGGGAAACCUGAUUGGUGUUAUCAAUCCAUUCUGAUAAUGACCGAAAGGAUGCGGCCCAUAGACUGUGAACAUCAGACGGGAUCAGACUUCAGCAUCUCUACGAGCCACGACAUAAACGUGCAGUGACAUUCUACAAGUUCUACGCGGAUCAUCUACUGUUAUUGUUGGUAUGAGUGUUUUGUUAGUUAAUCCGUUGGCUGCCACGCCUUUGUUUCCCCCAUGUUAGCUCCUUAGCACGGGCCGCACUGUUUGGUCUCUUGGUCUUAUGUGCCUUGGGAUCGAACAGCUGCACCUGCCCAAGAUUCGCCGAAAGGCCCUGUUAGGCAAUGCACCAUAGGGACUUC
Long non-coding RNA from Daphnia pulex (common water flea), 824 nucleotides. RefSeq lists it as uncharacterized. The record is from RefSeq and is a predicted model, not a curated record. The transcript has 6 exons. NCBI's taxonomy places the organism in Eukaryota, Metazoa, Arthropoda, Branchiopoda, Diplostraca, Daphniidae.